UACGUAGGGGGCGAGCGUUGUCCGGAUUUAUUGGGCGUAAAGAGCGUGUAGGCGGCCAGGUAGGUCUGCUGUGAAAACUCGAGGCUCAACUUCGAGCUGUCGGCGGAAACUAUCUGGCUAGAGUCCGGAAGAGGAGAAUGGAAUUCCUGGUGUAGCGGUGAAACGCGCAGAUAUCAGGAAGAACACCCGUGGCGAAGGCGGCUCACUGGCCCGGUACUGACGCUGAGGUGCGAAAGCGUGGGGAGCAAACAGG
RNAcentral lists this ribosomal RNA (253 nucleotides) under uncultured bacterium. RNAcentral describes it as "partial 16S ribosomal RNA". It matches the Rfam family "Bacterial small subunit ribosomal RNA", at positions 524 to 776 of the family's 1533-position model. The record is from RNAcentral.